Molecule: non-coding RNA, 166 nt
Filed under: Bacillus methanolicus MGA3
Lineage: Bacteria; Bacillati; Bacillota; Bacilli; Caryophanales; Bacillaceae
Source: RNAcentral
CUGAGAAAUGAACGAAUACGUCUUCUCCGGCUUCACGUUCGAUAAAUCCGAAACCUUUUUCUGCAUUAAACCAUUUUACUUUACCAUUUUCCAUUUUUGUUGCCUCCUAGUGCGUCGUACACACAAUUAAAUUUUAUUCUUGCUCUAAAUGAUAUCCAGGCGAAAA